RNAcentral lists this ribosomal RNA (475 nucleotides) under Eucypris virens. RNAcentral's name for it is "partial 16S ribosomal RNA". It matches the Rfam family "Bacterial large subunit ribosomal RNA", at positions 1829 to 2597 of the family's 2925-position model. Lineage: Eukaryota; Metazoa; Arthropoda; Ostracoda; Podocopida; Cyprididae. The record is from RNAcentral.
UUUCUUUAGAUAAAUUUUAAAGGUAAUACCUGCUCAAUGAAUAUUAAAUUGCCGCAGUAUUAUGACUGUGCUAAGGUAGCAUAAUAAUUUGUCUUUUAAAUGGAGACUAGAAUGAAAGGUUUUAUGGGGGGAUGUUGAUGAUUUAAUGAAUUAUUGAAAUUAAGAUUUAAGUUAAAAUUCUUAAGUUUGUUUGAGGGACGAGAAGACCCUGUGGAUCUUUAUUUUGUUAAUAAUAAGUUAUUAUAAAUGUUUUAUUAUUUAAAAAAUUUGAUUGGGACGAUUAUUAUUUUAACAUAAUUUUUGGAAUUUGUGUUGAUCCUAUAAAAGGAAUUAAGAUUAAGUUACCCCAGGGAUAACAGCGUUAUAUUACUGGAUAGUUCAUAUUGAUAGUAAUGUUUGCGACCUCGAUGUUGAAUUAAAAUUUCUUUUUAAAGUAGAAGUUAAAUUAGUAAGUCUGUUCGACUUUUAAAAUUUU